UCUGAUUCUUUGUUUCGAAACCCUGAAAAUAGCGUUUAAGAUGUUUGGUUCCCAAUUCCUAUGUAGAACUACCAAUUCGACCCUAAAACCGGCUAAGGGUCAGGUCAGCUUAGAACCAGUCUCAUGGAUCUUAUUAAAAAGAAUAGUAACAUGCAACUCAGGAGAAUGGAAACCAUGACUUCCAGUUUGAAGUAGAAGAACAAGGUUACUCAAGUUAAAAGAUUUUACCAAUCAUGUUCAACAACCAAGUAUAACAAGUCCUAUUCCCGAUUCAAAACCAGGACUUACAGGGUAGAUUCUAUGUUCCAGUCUUACAAUUGACACAUUCUGAAGCCGAUUACUCUCAAACAAGAAUCUCAUUACAACCAGCACUAUCGUGCAGCCAUAAAGUGUCCAUCAUAAUUUGCAAAUCAUCGGAUCUCAAUCGCAACUGAAUUCAGGGAUGACGAGCAGGACGAGAACCAACCUUCUUCGUUCGAGAGCCGCGACGAGUUCACGUUGAUGUAUCGACACGACGAGCGAAAUCUCAGGAGCGUAAGCGCAGCGAGUCGAAAAGGAACAGAAACCUAACGAGAAAUGAAGAGCAAAAUGCGACGAUGCUUGCGAAGGAGGAGAAGCUGUUUGACUAGAGAGAGGCGGGUGGUGCGCCU
This 650-nucleotide long non-coding RNA is filed under the name Eucalyptus grandis. RNAcentral's name for it is "long non-coding RNA (EGRA_LNC007466)". The record is from RNAcentral. Lineage: Eukaryota; Viridiplantae; Streptophyta; Magnoliopsida; Myrtales; Myrtaceae.